RNAcentral lists this transfer RNA (69 nucleotides) under bovine gut metagenome. It matches the Rfam family "tRNA". Rfam says of the family: Transfer RNA (tRNA) molecules are approximately 80 nucleotides in length. Their secondary structure includes four short double-helical elements and three loops (D, anti-codon, and T loops). The record is from RNAcentral.
CUAGAUAGCUCAGUUGGUAGAGCAGAGGACUGAAAAUCCUCGUGUCGCUGGUUCGAUUCCGGCUCUAGG